CGGGGUGCAGCAGGCGCGAAAACUCCACAAUGUACGACAGUACGAUGGGGUUAUCUCGAGUGCAGUCCGAUAAGGGCUGCUUUUCCAUAGAGUAAUAUCCUGUGGGAAUAAGAGGGGGGCAAGACUGGUGUCAGCCGCCGCGGUAACACCAGCCCCUCGAGUGGUGGGGACUAUUAUUUGGUCUAAAGCGUCCGUAGCUGGCUGUAUCCGUCCCCCGUUAAAUCCAGCGUCCUAAGCGUUGGACUGCGGGUGAUACCAUACAGCUAGAGGGUGGGAUAGGUGAGCGGUAUUUCUGGGGUAGGGGCGAAAUCCUUUGAUCCCAGGAGGACCACCAGUGGCGAAGGCUGCUCACUAGAACACGCCUGACGGUCAGGGACGAAAGCUGGGGCAGCGAACCGGAUUAGAUACCCGGGUAGUCCCAGCUGUAAACGAUGCCAGCUAGGUGUUGGGUCGGCCACGCGCCGCCCCAGUGCCGCAGGGAAGCCGUUAAGCUGGCCACCUGGGGAGUACGGCCGCAAGGCUGAAACUUAAAGGAAUUGGCGGG
Molecule: ribosomal RNA, 544 nt
Filed under: uncultured archaeon
Lineage: Archaea
Description: bacterial SSU rRNA
Rfam family: Archaeal small subunit ribosomal RNA
Source: RNAcentral